UUAUUACUUGUUUGCCCUUUUCAAUUUUUCUCAUCUUCUUCGAUUGUCGGAGAAGUAACGUACACAAGAGAUGGGGCUGUGUCGUAAGAACGCAGCGUCUGUUUUGGUUUGGAAGCAGAAGGGGUGCGAAUGCUUUUUGAGCGGAGAUUUCAUCAAUGCUUUGAAAUUCUACACUCAGGCACCAUUUGCCCUUGUCGAGGAUGGCUAACCUUCAAACAAGAUAUCGUAGCUGCUGGCAUGAUGCAUUCUAUUCAAGAUAUCGUAGCUGUCCCUGCAGGCUUGCUUGAUGUUUGAGGACUGGAAAUCUCUUGCCUCUUCAUCCUGCUUCAGAAUGGUUGGUGGGUGUUUGCU
Magnolia sinica is the source of this 351-nucleotide long non-coding RNA. RefSeq lists it as uncharacterized. The transcript is spliced from 3 exons. The record is from RefSeq and is a predicted model, not a curated record. NCBI's taxonomy places the organism in Eukaryota, Viridiplantae, Streptophyta, Magnoliopsida, Magnoliales, Magnoliaceae.